UGAGGCAGGAGAAUUGCUUGAACCCAGGAGGUGGAGGGUGGAGUGAGCCGAGAUCGCGCCACUGCACUCCAGCCUGGGUGACAGAGCGAGACUCCGUCU
Molecule: microRNA precursor, 99 nt
Filed under: Gorilla gorilla gorilla (western lowland gorilla)
Lineage: Eukaryota; Metazoa; Chordata; Mammalia; Primates; Hominidae
Description: miRNA (ENSGGOG00000040965.1)
Source: RNAcentral